Molecule: ribosomal RNA, 958 nt
Filed under: uncultured Clostridium sp.
Lineage: Bacteria; Bacillati; Bacillota; Clostridia; Eubacteriales; Clostridiaceae
Description: bacterial SSU rRNA
Rfam family: Bacterial small subunit ribosomal RNA
Source: RNAcentral
UACGUAGGGGGCUAGCGUUGUCCGGAAUUACUGGGCGUAAAGGGUGCGUAGGCGGCGCCUUAAGUCAGAUGUGAAAUAUCCAGGCUUAACCUGGAGGGUGCAUCUGAUACUGGGGUGCUUGAGUGCAGGAGAGGAAAGUGGAAUUCCUAGUGUAGCGGUGAAAUGCGUAGAUAUUAGGAGGAACACCAGUGGCGAAGGCGACUUUCUGGACUGUAACUGACGCUGAGGCACGAAAGCGUGGGGAGCAAACAGGAUUAGAUACCCUGGUAGUCCACGCUGUAAACGAUGGAUACUAGGUGUAGGGGGCGAUAGCUCUCUGUGCCGCAGCAAACGCAAUAAGUAUCCCGCCUGGGGAGUACGAUCGCAAGGUUGAAACUCAAAGGAAUUGACGGGGGCCCGCACAAGCAGCGGAGCAUGUGGUUUAAUUCGAAGCAACGCGAAGAACCUUACCAAGGCUUGACAUCCCUUGACGCACAUAGAAAUAUGUGUUCCCUUCGGGGCAAGGAGACAGGUGGUGCAUGGUUGUCGUCAGCUCGUGUCGUGAGAUGUUGGGUUAAGUCCCGCAACGAGCGCAACCCUUAUUGCUAGUUGCCAGCACGUAAAGGUGGGAACUCUAGUGAGACUGCCGGGGACAACUCGGAGGAAGGUGGGGACGACGUCAAAUCAUCAUGCCCCUUAUGUCUUGGGCUACACACGUGCUACAAUGGCCGGUACAAAGGGUAGCGAAACCGCAAGGCGAAGCGAAUCUCAAAAAGCCGGUCUCAGUUCGGAUCGUGGGCUGCAACCCGCCCACGUGAAGUCGGAGUUGCUAGUAAUCGCGAAUCAGCAUGUCGCGGUGAAUGCGUUCCCGGGCCUUGUACACACCGCCCGUCACACCAUGGAAGUUGGGAGCACCCGAAGCCAGUGGCCUAACCCGCAAGGGAGGGAGCUGUCGAAGGUGAGAUCAAUGACUGGGGUG